Heterocephalus glaber (naked mole-rat) is the source of this 3439-nucleotide long non-coding RNA. NCBI's taxonomy places the organism in Eukaryota, Metazoa, Chordata, Mammalia, Rodentia, Bathyergidae. The record is from Ensembl.
CUGGCUCCACAGCACAGAAUGAAGUAUUUUGCUACAGAUUAGUGAUUAUUUCUCAAGCAAGCCACAAAUGAGGACACAUUCCUGAAUGUAACUCUCCCAGUGACCACAGAAAGCUAUGAGAUCCCAACACUGAGCACUUUUUUUGGUGGAUGGAAUGUGCACUAAAUUUAGAAUCCAUGGCAAAAGCUGUCAAGAACCCUGAAGCCAACUGACUAAAGGUGCAAGUAUGUGUUUGCUUGCUUUCUACCAUCAGUCCUUCCUCCUUUCAGCUCAGCCUGCCAUUCUGGUAGCAAAGUCUGCAGGAGCUCAUGAAGAGGUCCAACGUGAUCAGGUGAAAAGACAGACCAAGCUGGUACAACAUGCUAAUAAAUUCCUUCUCUGAGGGAUCACUGAUGAGGCUGCCUGGAGGGACAAAAUACCCAACACCCUCAACUUAAAUGAGAAGAAUAUUAUGGCUUGUGGUUACAGUCCAUGGUCAGCUGGCUCCAAGGCAGAAACAGCAUGGUGGAAGGUCUGGUAGUAAAAGUCAACAAACAAUAAACAAAAUGCCUUUUAAAGAUCAUAAAGGGAUCCUGAAACCAAAAAGAUGAAAGAAAUGUUUUAAACUGAAAGAAGAGCCCCUCUUGCAGAGUGGACUUUGCCAGGUUAUAUAACCUUCCUCAGAAGAGGCUGAAGGAGGGAUGAAGAGGCCCUGAAGCCUCUGGGGGAAGGAGUAAGCAAGGCCUUUGGAAAAUGCAGGACCCUGGGAGAAAUCACCCCAGUAUGGGCUUUAUAGUCUCCUGCACCCAGUGAUGGCCAAGCUCACAAUUUCUCACCAGAAGAGUGAAGUGGGUCCAAAGAGUUGUAAUAGGACCAGAGCACUGCCUCACCAAAGCACUCAUGGAAUUCUUGCCCCAACCCAGGUGUCAUGGGGUUCUCCUGGGUCUGUGGACAGGCUGCAGGCAACCUGCUCUAUGGGGAUAUUAACACACUCUUUGCAUACAUUUAAAGGAACUUGUGUGCCUUGCUGGUGUCUGUCCAAGACUUCCUGUCAACUACAGCACCUGGUCAUCACCAGAGUCUGGAAACUCUAUCACAGAGCAAUUACAAAUCACAGCAGAAUAGUGUCAGAGAGUGACAUGAUUUUACCAGCAGGCUGUCCUCAGCCAGAACUUAAUUACCCUGGCCUUCAGAUGGGUCUCUUCAUAUCCCUGGGUUCCUCAUUUGGAAAAUAAAAAAGCCUGUUGGGAGAAGGUAAUUUUCAGGAAUGUCUUACUUAAGUAACAGCUCUGCAGACAGGAAGCACUGCCCAACAACUAACAAUAGGUAGCAUUUCAGAAGAAGAAGAUUCAGAGAAGAUCUGAUGGAGAAGCCAACAUCUGCAAAAAGGGAACACUCCUCCUCCCUUGCAGAACUCAUUGUGGGGGGAGAGAGAGAGAAGAUUUAUCAAAAUGAGAUAAGGGCAGACAGAGGAAACCCUGACUCAGAAGCUUCCAGUGACUCAGUUUUGAGAACAAGAAGCGUACUCAGUAUAGUUAAAAUUUCUGGAAAUUUCAAGCAGACCAAGAGAGAGCUAUCCAUCUUACACCACAGAGCACUAAUCUACAGAACUGAAAGUUUCCCCUGGAAAUAUGUGCUAAUAAGAGAUAUUGUCCCACAGUCCUCCUCUCUUCUGGCCUAUGUCUGCUAAGGAUACAAGGUCAUUUCCAGUGUGUCACUACCUCCUAAAUCUCAGUGAGCUGCUGUUAGGAGUUGGUGGUAUCCUAAUUAGGGACUCUGGAGAAACCCAUAACUCUGAAGUACUAUAGAACAGACACAUGGAAGGUAUACAACAGAAGGCUAGUAGGAAAGAAAGCCAGAAGCCUCCUGCCUGGGUAUUGUUUUCACCACUCAGUUUCUGACUUUUAGCAUGGAGCUUGACAUCUAGUAGGUGCUCAAUAAAUACUCCAUCAAUGAGUGAAGAUAGUCAUUAAAUUGGAUUUUACGUAAAAAGAAAAUAAUGGAAAUCAGAACAGUUGUGAGAAAGAGAAAGAGACUGAAGAGGAAGAAAGAUAGGCUUAGCAAUAUUUUUAUUAAUUUUCCAGGAUGAGACACAGCCUGGAGUUGCUGGAACAUAGCCCUGUGGCCACUUCUUCAGUCUUCUUUUGUGCCUUGGAAAGUAUUGUAAAUCAAUCUCUCUCUCUCUCUCUCUCUCUCCCUCCCUCCCUCUGUCUUUUUCUCUCCUUUAAAUGGUUCUCUUUAACCAUGUUUACAAAGUAGAAAGUACUAGGAGUGGAUUUGAAAGGAAUGCAAUGCAGCUAAUGAAUAACUCAAUCAAAUUAAAUGAAGAUUGUGUUUCACAGUUGAGAGGAAAUCGUCAGUUGAGUAAACAAUCCCUAUCUGAUUGGGAGAGAAACCAAGGGAUACACACACACACACACACACACACACACACACACACACACACACAGUGUGCCCAUCUUUUGGUUUUUGUUUUUGAGAAUUUCACCUACUUCAUUACUGUUGUGGGGAUCAAAUGAGAUCAGCAGAAGUGCUCACUGUGCGAUCUGUACAUAAUGAAUUUCCUCCCUACCAUUCCUCAGUCCAGUGGUGGUGAACCUAUAGCACAUGCUGGUUUUCUUUUAAUAAAAAAGAUGUUAAUGUAUGAGUUGUUUUUUCUAAACUAAAACCUAACUAGUAUUCAGGUUGAACUGCAGUCUUGGCACUUUGUGAUAAACAAGUAGAUUUUGGGUUGUAGUUUGGGCACUUGUCUCUAAAAGGUCCAUCAUUACUGCUUAGGUUGGAGUUGAGAGUGGAGUGACUACACACUUUAAAAUCUUGAGACAAUUUUGCAGCACAAUUUUAGGUGUAAAGAAAAAUUGCACAUAAAAAAAGUUCAGCGAGUUCCCAUAUAGUUCCUCUCCCUCACCCACAUCCUCUGUGCUAACACAUAACAUGAGUGUGGUCCAUGUGUUACAUCUGAUGACCGGUCAGGAUGUACUAUCAUUGACUGAUGUUUGUAGUUUCCAUUAGAGCUCACUGUUGGUGUACAUUUUAGAGGUUUUGACAAAUGCAUAAUGAUGUGUGUCCAUCAUUAUCAUACAGAAUACCAUAGUUUUGCCACCCUAAAAAUCCUCUGCUUCACCGUGUGUGUCUCUUUCCCAAGCCCCUGGUCAGCAUGGAUCAUUUCACUGUCUCUGUAGUGCUACCAGAAUGUCAUAUGGUUGAAAUCAUACUGUUAUGGUUUAGGUCACAUAUGAGCCUCCUGUGUGGCCAGGUGGGGCUUGGGGAAGGCAAGGUCAUGUCACUGGGGACAUGACCUAGAGAGAUGCAUUCCCUUCCAGCUUCUUCCUCCUCUCUCUGCCAUUUGGCUGUCAUAACAUGUGCAACUUUUGUACCCACCUCCUGGGCCCUCCACCCUGCCCCCAUCCAUGCAAGGACUGAAACUUCUAAAACAUGAGCCAAAAUAAACCCUUCCUCC